CAGCAGCCGCGGUAAUACAGAGGAUGCAAGCGUUGUUCGGAGUUACUGGGCGUAAAGGGUGUGUAGGCGGUUGUUUAAGUUUGGUGUGAAAUCUCCCGGCUCAACUGGGAGGGUGCGCCGAAUACUGAAUGACUAGAGUAUGGGAUGGGAGAGUAGAAUUCCUGGUGUAGCGGUGAAAUGCGUAGAUAUCAGGAGGAAUACCGGUGGUGUAGACGGCUCUCUGGACCAUUACUGACGCUGAGACACGAAAGCGUGGGUAGCAAACAGGAUUAGAUACCCCCGUAGUCCCUGUCUCUUAUAC
RNAcentral lists this ribosomal RNA (301 nucleotides) under uncultured bacterium. RNAcentral describes it as "partial 16S ribosomal RNA". It matches the Rfam family "Bacterial small subunit ribosomal RNA", at positions 509 to 807 of the family's 1533-position model. The record is from RNAcentral.